AAACUAACAAGGAUUCCCCUAGUAACGGCGAGUGAACCGGGAAGAGCUCAAAUUUGAAAUCUGGCGUGCUCAGUGCGUCCGAGUUGUAAUCUAUAGAGGCGUUUUCCGUGCCGGACUGUGUCUAAGUCCCUUGGAACAGGGUAUCAAAGAGGGUGAUAAUCCCGUACUUGACACAAUGACCGGUGCUCUGUGAUACGUCUUCUACGAGUCGAGUUGUUUGGGAAUGCAGCUCAAAAUGGGUGGUGAGUUCCAUCUAAAGCUAAAUAUUGGCGAGAGACCGAUAGCGAACAAGUACCGUGAGGGAAAGAUGAAAAGCACUUUGGAAAGAGAGUUAAACAGUACGUGAAAUUGUUGAAAGGGAAACGAUUGAAGUCAGUCGUGACUGAGAGGCUCAGCCGGUUCUGCCGGUGUAUUCCCCUCAGUCGGGUCAACAUCAGUUUUGUUCGGUGGAUAAGGGCAGCUGGAAGGUGGCACCUCCGGGUGUGUUAUAGCCAGCUGUCGCAUACAUCGAAUGAGACUGAGGAAUGCAGCUCGCCUUUAUGGCCGGGGUUCGCCCACGUCCGAGCUUAGGAUGUUGACAUAAUGGCUUUAAACGA
RNAcentral lists this ribosomal RNA (596 nucleotides) under Papiliotrema terrestris. RNAcentral's name for it is "partial 26S ribosomal RNA". It matches the Rfam family "Eukaryotic large subunit ribosomal RNA", at positions 62 to 647 of the family's 3401-position model. Lineage: Eukaryota; Fungi; Basidiomycota; Tremellomycetes; Tremellales; Rhynchogastremaceae. The record is from RNAcentral.